RNAcentral lists this long non-coding RNA (204 nucleotides) under Elaeis guineensis (African oil palm). RNAcentral describes it as "long non-coding RNA (EGUI_LNC015225)". Lineage: Eukaryota; Viridiplantae; Streptophyta; Magnoliopsida; Arecales; Arecaceae. The record is from RNAcentral.
CCUCACAAUUCUUUAGAUCACUAUAACAGAGUCACCCUUAAGAAGGAUAGACUCCACUCUAAAAACAAGCCAUGCACAGUGGCUCUCUUCCCAAGCCAUUCUCAACACUAUCCCUAGUAUGGAAACAUCAAAGAUUAGACUACCUCCAACAACCAGUCUAGAGCCAUGACCUUUGAUCACAAAGCCUGCCCUAUCUCUCCAACC